Cucumis sativus (cucumber) is the source of this 2255-nucleotide long non-coding RNA. RefSeq lists it as uncharacterized. The transcript has 4 exons. The record is from RefSeq and is a predicted model, not a curated record. NCBI's taxonomy places the organism in Eukaryota, Viridiplantae, Streptophyta, Magnoliopsida, Cucurbitales, Cucurbitaceae.
CAGAAAAGACGGAUUCAACUAGGAGUUGGUUGAGUUAUGACGAAAGAAGGCGGUGGAGGCAAGCUGAGCGUUUGAGGAUCUCGGGAGGAGUCGGGAGACUUGCGAACAAGCAUCAGGAGUCGUUAAGCAGCUAAUGAUGGCUUUUAAACGUUGGCUGUAUGCAUUGUGUGGUGGUGAUAAACCUCUCCUGUAUGAAGACGACGAGUUUCGUAUUCGAGGUUUUCGGAGGUAAGAAUUCCAAUAAAUUCACUGAAGGCAGAGAGCCGACGAACAAGUCAAUUAGAUCAACUCUGUAGAGAAAUACACAACAGGUUAUCUCUGUGGUCCAUGGAAUCUGUCUAUGGAAGGAUGUUUCUUUGAUAGUGCUCUGAAAAAGUUUAAAGGAAGUUUUUGCAGAAAUUCAAUUCAUGAUGGCCGAUGGGCAUGGGCUAAUUCCCACCGUCAUAAAUGAAAUCAAAUUACCAUCAUUCCCCAGUGGUUGGUCUUGAGUAAGAAUGUUAUAUCUUGCCAAGUGUCUGAAAAGAGGUACAAUAAGAAUGGCAUACUAUGGUAUAUUUAAAAUUUUCACCUUCAUAAAUGUAAGUUUCCAGUGUCGUCUACCAGUUGAUCAUCGGCCAGGAUUUUAUUUUCUAUCAAGAGCUCGAAGGUUGUCAUGGCAUGUGAAAUAUAAAAUUUUGCACUGAAAUCCGGUUAAGAUUUCUACCAUCAUAAUGGAAAUUACCAAUGUUAACCAGCAGUUGAUCAUGGCUGAGAAUGCUGAAUAAUGCCAAAAUUCUUGCAUUGAAGGAUGCCAUGGUUUGUGGAAUCUCAAAUUAAUUUCUCUGUUGGUUGUUUGUGAUUUAUAUUGUAUUUAAUACACAUUGGGAGUCGAAUAAAAUACUAAACGAUAAGAUAAGUUAUAAUUUUAAUAUAUUGGACACAAUAACCUAAGCUAUCAUUCAUAACUAUAAUGUCAAAAAUGCUAAUCACAGGUGUAUUAUCAUAGACUUUUGCCAGGCAACUUGAUAUUUACAUGGCUCUUGUCCUUUUGUUUCACAGCAAAGAUAGAUGCCGAGUUGAAAGGCUUUGAAAUAUGACAAGUUUAGAAGAUUCGUCAAUUGCAAUUGAGGUCCGAGGCCAAUGAAGCACUCUGCAGAAUGGACGAUCAUAAUAGAGUUGUAGUCGCAUGGCAAAGGGAGUUGGAAGCAUACUGAGAGUUAAGUAUUAUUAUCCAUUAACACUUCUAAUUAAGUUAGCAUCGUCUGGAGCUUAAAAAGUAUAUCCUGUGUUUAUUCUUGUGAGUAACUACAUCUAAUAAUAGUAUUUUUAGGACCAGUAAUUAAACCUAUACUAGAAUUUUAAAAGAUUAACUAAUAUGGUUAAAUCUAACCUUGAGAGCUUGAAUUUAAACUUUAGCAUACUUGUAUAUAUAUUUUUACUUUGUGUUAUAUCUAUGAAUACUUUUAAGUUUUAUCGUUAUAUUCUCAAAAAAUAAUCAACAAAAUUCCAAAUAAUAGGGUUGAGAUUGAAUAAAAUAGGGCACCCGCUGCGAAUUGCAAAAGUUUUAAUGACCCCUUUGAGCUUGGGCUUUAAAGAGGCUCUCUAGUAUGACCCACUCAAUGAGUGACGGUCGUUAGCCUUUGCAUGCGUAUAGUUGAUUUUGAUUAAGUUCAUAAAAUAUGAGAAGUAUCCUUUAUUGUUAUCUUAAAAUAUUCAUCAUACGAUAAAAUAAUGGAAAAGUAGAUUAGAAUCUACAAUUUGUUUAACCAAUAAAAUUAUGUUUAAGGUCGGCAUGUGGUUUUUUUUAUUGUUUUUAUGUUUGAGAUUUGGGACGUUAUUAUCAUUUUAAGUAUAAAAUAUCAUUUUUAGUAGGUUCUAAUGUUUGAGGAUGGUUGAUAAUCAUUUUGUUUCUAUGUUAUCUACUUGUGAAAAGUAAAGUUAUUCAAUACUGCUUCAACUCCAUCAAUGUGAAUUAAUAUGUAAUUUGUACCGAUUUUUUUAUUUAUUUAAUAGAUAUUAGCUUUUCAUCCAAGAUGAUAGAAGCUCCAUAUGUAUACAUGUAUUCUUUUUUUGUUGUAAAAAAAUAUUAAUUUAUGGAUCGUUUGUUCGAAAAAAAAGUAAUCGAGAUUUGAAAAACACUGAAAUUAGGGGGAGAAUUCCUUUGGUUUUAUAUUUCUUUUAGAGAGGCAACAUUUGCCUUUUAUACAUUGAUUAAAUGUAAAUGAAAAGUUAUUUUUUUAAAAUAAUAAUAAUAAUAAUUAUUAUUGCAUGGGAUA